CACGAGCGCACCUCUUACACCGCCUGCCCGUUUAGCUGUUUACAGCAGGGGUGCGGCAUCCCUCACGGAGCCAUUAGCACAAUCUGCAAACCGAGCAUAAUGAAAGUUACAGAGGUUUGACUUUACAAGAAGGGUUUACAGCAGCUUCCCGUCAGCUCUUUUUCA
Triplophysa dalaica is the source of this 165-nucleotide long non-coding RNA. RefSeq lists it as uncharacterized. Lineage: Eukaryota; Metazoa; Chordata; Actinopteri; Cypriniformes; Nemacheilidae. The transcript is spliced from 3 exons. The record is from RefSeq and is a predicted model, not a curated record.